Molecule: ribosomal RNA, 697 nt
Filed under: uncultured bacterium
Lineage: Bacteria
Description: bacterial SSU rRNA
Rfam family: Bacterial small subunit ribosomal RNA
Source: RNAcentral
CGAGCGAAGCGUAUUAGCGGAAGUUUUCGGAUGGAAGCGGAUAUGACUUAGCGGCGGACGGGUGAGUAACGCGUGGAUAACCUGCCUCAUACAGGGGGAUAACAGUUAGAAAUGACUGCUAAUACCGCAUAAGCGCACAGGACCGCAUGGUCCGGUGUGAAAAACUCCGGUGGUAUGGGAUGGAUCCGCGUCUGAUUAGCUGGUUGGUGAGGUAACGGCCCACCAAGGCGACGAUCAGUAGCCGACCUGAGAGGGUGGCCGGCCACAUUGGGACUGAGACACGGCCCAAACUCCUACGGGAGGCAGCAGUGGGGAAUAUUGCACAAUGGGGGAAACCCUGAUGCAGCAACGCCGCGUGAGUGAAGAAGUAUUUCGGUAUGUAAAGCUCUAUCAGCAGGAAAGAAGAAAGACGGUACCUGACUAAGAAGCCCCGGCUAACUACGUGCCAGCAGCCGCGGUAAUACGUAGGGGGCAAGCGUUAUCCGGAUUUACUGGGUGUAAAGGGAGCGUAGACGGCUGUGCAAGUCUGAAGUGAAAGCCCGUGGCUCAACCGCGGAACUGCUUUGGAAACUGUAUAGCUUGAGUACUGGAGAGGCAGGCGGAAUUCCUAGUGUAGCGGUGAAAUGCGUAGAUAUUAGGAGGAACACCAGUGGCGAAGGCGGCCUGCUGGACAGAAACUGACGUUGAGGCUCGAAAG